This 253-nucleotide ribosomal RNA is filed under the name uncultured bacterium. Its description in RNAcentral is "partial 16S ribosomal RNA". It matches the Rfam family "Bacterial small subunit ribosomal RNA", at positions 524 to 776 of the family's 1533-position model. The record is from RNAcentral.
UACGAGUGCUCCAAGCGUUAUCCGGAAUCAUUGGGCGUAAAGGGUGUGUAGGCGGUUGUGUUAGUCUUCUGUCAAAUUCUUCGGCUUAACCGGGGGCCUGCAGGGGAAACGGCACAACUAGAGGAUGCGAGAGGUAAAUGGAACUCAUGGAGUAGGGGUGAAAUCCGUUGAUAUCAUGGGGAACACCGAAUGCGAAGGCAAUUUACUGGCGCACUCCUGACGCUGAGACACGAAAGCGUAGGUAGCGAAUGGG